AAAAUAAAUUGAUUUUAUUUGUUUAUUCACUGGCGCCAGAGUCGGGAAUAAAAAAAUAUUGAUUUAAAUUUAUUUUGUUUAUACCUGCGUAAUAUUUACCAACGCCAGAGUUGAAAAUAUUCGUAGUUAAAUAUUCACUGCCGCCAGAGUCAGGAAUAUUAUAAGCAAAUUUUUAUAACAUAAACUAAUAAACAUUUAGCAAUUUAAGACGAAACUAGCAAUGCAGCCUGCCUCAGGCAGGACGUUUAAGGGGUGAUAAAAUCUUCCCUUUUACGUAACCAGUCCCGA
This 288-nucleotide long non-coding RNA is filed under the name Populus tremula. RNAcentral's name for it is "long non-coding RNA (PTRE_LNC003249)". The record is from RNAcentral. Lineage: Eukaryota; Viridiplantae; Streptophyta; Magnoliopsida; Malpighiales; Salicaceae.